This 71-nucleotide transfer RNA is filed under the name Camelus bactrianus (Bactrian camel). It matches the Rfam family "tRNA". Rfam says of the family: Transfer RNA (tRNA) molecules are approximately 80 nucleotides in length. Their secondary structure includes four short double-helical elements and three loops (D, anti-codon, and T loops). Further hydrogen bonds mediate the characteristic L-shaped molecular structure. tRNAs have two regions of fundamental functional importance: the anti-codon, which is responsible for specific mRNA codon recognition, and the 3' end, to which the tRNAs corresponding amino acid is attached (by aminoacyl-tRNA synthetases). tRNAs cope with the degeneracy of the genetic code in two manners: having more than one tRNA (with a specific anti-codon) for a particular amino acid; and 'wobble' base-pairing, i.e. permitting non-standard base-pairing at the 3rd anti-codon position. RNAcentral also lists the same sequence under 1 other name. The record is from Rfam by way of RNAcentral. Lineage: Eukaryota; Metazoa; Chordata; Mammalia; Artiodactyla; Camelidae.
GAGGGUAGAGCUCAGUGGUAGAGCGUCUGCUUAGCAGGCACGAGGUCCUGAGUUCCAUCCCAGUACCUCCA